CUACUUCUCUGUCACCAUUUGUUAAUUUCAAUGAAGCUAGCACUUUGGUAGAUCUGCAGGAGGAUGAGGCAAACUCUCUUGCACCUUCUUGCCAUUUUUCACUAUAAACAUUGUGCUCAUUCCCCAUGUUUGAUGGAUGUCAAAAUGACAAUGCAAUAACCAGAGCCCUAUUCAUUAUGAAAGGAAGAUUUUAUCAGCAAAUGUCAUAUGUGUUGUGAUGUUUAGGAGUUUUGUGAAGAAGAAUACCUGGAUUGUUGGCAACAAACCGAAUUGCCGCCCAACCUCCUACUGGGACUCCAAUAGUGUUCAAGUAAGGAGGAUCCUCCAGGUUAAAUUUUGCUGUUUGUUGAUCAUAGUUUCCUGUGCCAUAGCCAAUGACAUAAAAGCUGUGUCCAUGAAGAUGAAUUGGAUGAUUUUCUGUUGUGAGUGUGCCAGUAUUCUGGAAGAUGAUUUGUAUCCUGCUCCCAUACUCGAAAACUAUUGCUCUGGUCCCAUUUGCAGCCUGCGUGUCAUUGGCUAUGUCAUUGGGUGCCCCAUUGACAAAGUCAUAGGCUUUUUCCGGCGUGGUUGGGAAAUCUAAAGUGAAGUAACCUUCCAGUUGCUUGUAAUAUGCUUCCAAAAUCGAGACUUUAGGUUCGAUGAAGCUUAUGUUGUUCAUUGAAGCUGCUAGUCUUCCUUUUCUGGGCCCUUGGCACUUGUUGUUUGGAUUUUCAGAGUUGCAUUUGUUUACAUUUAGCCCGAUUGUGAUAAAGAGAUGAGCGUCAAUGUUUCUUGGAACAUCAACUGCAUUUAGACUUCUGAGCCCAUCCAUGACAGUCUUAACAGCAAUAUUAUCAUUGAAAAUAGACUCGUACGGACCCAUGGCCAUGGAGUAUCUCCCAACGGUUUGAUCAGCUGUGACAAGAAUGUUCAUUGUCUGUCCAGGUACAAGCAUCACACGCUCUGUUGUAUAAGGCUUGGUGUAUUCGCCAUCUACUUCCACUAUGGUCAACCUGUGAUUAGCUAUGGUGAAGAAGGUCUCCAUGUUAAUACCAGCAUUUAUCAGUCUUAGCAGAUAUCGCCGGGCCAGGGAAUUUCUUGUUGACUGUUACAAUCUCGUUUGUUUGGCAUAGCCUGAAUCUAGUUGCAGCGCCAAUCCUGCCAAUAUUCAUUACUUGAAGAGUGAACAAGAGAAAGCUAAGCCGGAACAAGGACGGGACAGCUGAACUGGUCAUCUUGAAUGGAAAGAGACAAGGAGAUUUGAGGUUGAAAGAUACUGCUUAAUGCAACUGGUUUUUAUAGCGUCUGAAGGCGAAAAAUAGGAAAUAAAAUAAAUAGAGUUGAGGAAAAGUUUCAUGAUUUGGAGAGUUGGGAACAGAGACAUUAGUGAUUAUAAGGUGUUGGGAAAGCGUGACUUGUUUCUUGACCCCAGCGUGAGAUUGAAGGCAACACACGAGUUACUAUAAAAGGAGAAAGAUACUCUUAGUUAGUGUCUGCUCUUUGAUUUUGAAUCAGUAAAAGCUUUAUACAUUAUGAUGCAGGAUUCUCUACCAAACCGCUGACUGAUCUGGACCAACCCGGUGACCUAAUGACUAUUUCUUUUGACAGGUCGUUAAUCAUCAACUUUAGGAUCAGCCGGGAUUAGUGAGGUGCAUGAUUUAGCAUGAUUAGAGAGUGUUUAGUAGGGUCGUGUUGGGGUUUUUUAGAGUGUUGAAAGAGAAAGAAGAAGAAAGAGUAAGAAGGGAUCAAGCUUCUUGGUCGGAAGUUUGGAUGGUCUUAAUUCUUUAUUGGUCGUGUCAUCAUCAAAAGUUCGUGCACGCCUUCAUUUGCCAAAGAGAACUCUUAUUUAUUUAUUUUUUUUUUUUCUUCUAAAUUUUGUUUAAUUUCUGAAUUUUUUUUUCCUUAUAUUGUAAGACCACUGAUACUGAUAUUUACGUAAAUUUCUUAUUUGAUUUUUAAUUACGUAAAUUUCU
This 1952-nucleotide long non-coding RNA is filed under the name Arabidopsis thaliana (thale cress). Its description in RNAcentral is "potential natural antisense gene, locus overlaps with AT2G46570 (AT2G46572)". The record is from RNAcentral. Lineage: Eukaryota; Viridiplantae; Streptophyta; Magnoliopsida; Brassicales; Brassicaceae.